CAAUAGCGUAUAUUAAAGUUGUUGCAGUUAAAAGCUCGUAGUUGGAUUUCUGGCAGGAGCGACCGGUCGCACGCUAUGCGUGUGAACUUGUGUUGUCUCUGGCCAUCCUUGGGGAGAUCCCGUUUGGCAUUAAGUUGUCGGGCGGGGAUACCCAUCGUUUACUGUGAAAAAUUGGAGUGUUCAAAGCAGGCCUCGCGCCUGAACAGCAGAGCAUGGAAUAAUGGAAUAGGACCUCGGUUCUAUUGCGUUGGUUUUCGGAACUCGAGGUAAUGAUUAAGAGGGACUGACGGGGGCAUUCGUAUUGGCGGGUGUGAGAGGUGAAAUUCUUGGAUUUGUUAAAAGACGGACUACUGCGAAAGCAUUUGCCAAGGAUGUUUUCAUUGAUCAAGAACGAAAGUUAGGGGAUCGAAGAUGAUUA
Molecule: ribosomal RNA, 418 nt
Filed under: uncultured eukaryote
Lineage: Eukaryota
Description: bacterial SSU rRNA
Rfam family: Eukaryotic small subunit ribosomal RNA
Source: RNAcentral